This 381-nucleotide unclassified non-coding RNA is filed under the name uncultured Actinomycetes bacterium. RNAcentral's name for it is "uncultured actinobacterium contains 16S-23S intergenic spacer region". The record is from RNAcentral. Lineage: Bacteria; Bacillati; Actinomycetota; Actinomycetes.
UCCGAGUUGACCCCGGCAGUCUCGCAUGAGUUCCCGGCAUUACCCGCUGGCAACAUGCGAUGGGGGUUGCGCUCGUUGCGGGACUUAACCCAACACCUCACGACACGAGCUGACGACAGCCAUGCAGCACCUGUGCAGGAUCUCCGAAGAGGGGCUCUCGUUUCUGAGAGCUUGCUCCUGCAUGUCAAGCCUAGGUAAGGUUCUUCGCGUUGCGUCGAAUUAAACCACAUGCUCCGCCGCUUGUGCGGGCCCCCGUCAAUUCCUUUGAGUUUUAGCCUUGCGGCCGUACUCCCCAGGCGGGGCACUUAAUGCGUUAGCUACGGCACGGAACCCGUCGAUAGAGUCCCACACCUAGUGCCCAACGUUUACGGCGUGGACUAC